This 396-nucleotide ribosomal RNA is filed under the name Triticum aestivum (bread wheat). RNAcentral describes it as "partial small subunit ribosomal RNA". The record is from RNAcentral. Lineage: Eukaryota; Viridiplantae; Streptophyta; Magnoliopsida; Poales; Poaceae.
AUGUUUCCAGUGACGGGUUCGCCGAAAUGCGUUGCUUUCCGAUCAAAGCAUACCCGCAAGUACCUUGGUAGCGUGCAUGUAGGGAGCGAGGAGAGCGCCGUCGGCGGAGGCAGGUUCUUCGAGGAGCUGAGCGACGGCGCCGACGACGUCGAUGUCCUUGCAAGCCCGUACACUAGAUUCUACCUGGAGCCAUCCAAGGAGCACGACGGGCUCCUGCACGUCAGGUGCUGCCACAACAACAAGUACUGGGUGGCCAAACAUGGCGGUGAAGGCAGCGGCCACUGGAUCAUUGGCAUCGUCAAUGAACCGAACGACGACCUGUCCAAGCCGUCAUGCACGCUUUUUGAGCCCGUCCCUCUCACGGACGGGGACAAUAAUCUAUCCAUCAGAUUCUGA